CGUGUAGGCGGCUUGGUAAGUCUGGUGUGAAACCUUGGGGCUCAACCCCAAGCCUGCACUGGAUACUGCCUCGCUUGAGUCCGGGAGGGGAGAGCGGAAUUCCUAGUGUAGCGGUGAAAUGCGCAGAUAUUAGGAAGAACACCGGUGGCGAAGGCGGCUCUCUGGAACGGUACUGACGCUGAGACGCGAAAGCGUGGGGAGCGAACAGGAUUAGAUACCCUGGUAGUCCACGCCGUAAACGAUGGGCACUAGAUGUGGGCGGUGUCGACUCCGUCCGUGUCGAAGCUAACGCAUUAAGUGCCCCGCCUGGGGAGUACGGCCGCAAGGCUAAA
This 332-nucleotide ribosomal RNA is filed under the name uncultured Gaiella sp. Its description in RNAcentral is "bacterial SSU rRNA". It matches the Rfam family "Bacterial small subunit ribosomal RNA", at positions 568 to 898 of the family's 1533-position model. The record is from RNAcentral. Lineage: Bacteria; Bacillati; Actinomycetota; Thermoleophilia; Gaiellales; Gaiellaceae.